GAUGAACGCUAGCGAUAGGCUUAACACAUGCAAGUCGAGGGGCAGCAUUAUUUUAGCUUGCUAAGAUAGAUGGCGACCGGCGCACGGGUGCGUAACGCGUAUGCGACCUGCCUGUAAUUAGGGAAUAACCCGGUGAAAGUCGGACUAAUACCCUAUAUUCUUCUUUCUCCGCAUGGAGGAGGACGGAAAGAUUUAUUGAUUACAGAUGGGCAUGCGUCCCAUUAGCUAGUUGGUAAGGUAACGGCUUACCAAGGCAACGAUGGGUAGGGGGACUGAGAGGUUGACCCCCCACACUGGUACUGAGACACGGACCAGACUCCUACGGGAGGCAGCAGUGAGGAAUAUUGGUCAAUGGGCGAGAGCCUGAACCAGCCAAGUCGCGUGAAGGACGACGGUUCUAUGGAUUGUAAACUUCUUUUGUAGAGGAAUAACGGCAGCUACGUGUAGCUGAGACGCAUGUACU
RNAcentral lists this ribosomal RNA (463 nucleotides) under Porphyromonas endodontalis. RNAcentral's name for it is "bacterial SSU rRNA". It matches the Rfam family "Bacterial small subunit ribosomal RNA", at positions 28 to 479 of the family's 1533-position model. The record is from RNAcentral. Lineage: Bacteria; Pseudomonadati; Bacteroidota; Bacteroidia; Bacteroidales; Porphyromonadaceae.